GGGUUGUGAGGUUAAGCGACUAAGCGUACACGGUGGAUGCCCUGGCAGUCAGAGGCGAUGAAGGACGUGCUAAUCUGCGAAAAGCGUCGGUAAGGUGAUAUGAACCGUUAUAACCGGCGAUGUCCGAAUGGGGAAACCCAGUGCAAUUCGUUGCACUAUCGUUAACUGAAUACAUAGGUUAACGAGGCGAACCGGGGGAACUGAAACAUCUAAGUACCCCGAGGAAAAGAAAUCAACCGAGAUUCCCCCAGUAGCGGCGAGCGAACGGGGAGCAGCCCAGAGUCUGAAUCAGCUUGUGUGUUAGUGGAACGGUCUGGAAAGUCCGACGGUACAGGGUGAUAGUCCCGUACACCAAAAUGCACAGGUUGUGAACUCGAAGAGUAGGGCGGGACACGUGGUAUCCUGUCUGAAUAUGGGGGGACCAUCCUCCAAGGCUAAAUACUCCUGACUGACCGAUAGUGAACCAGUACCGUGAGGGAAAGGCGAAAAGAACCCCGGCGAGGGGAGUGAAAAAGAACCUGAAACCGUGUACGUACAAGCAGUGGGAGCACCUUCGGGUGUGACUGCGUACCUUUUGUAUAAUGGGUCAGCGACUUAUAUUCUGUAGCAAGGUUAACCGUAUAGGGGAGCCGCAGGGAAACCGAGUCUUAACUGGGCGUUAAGUUGCAGGGUAUAGACCCGAAACCCGGUGAUCUAGCCAUGGGCAGGUUGAAGGUUGGGUAACACUAACUGGAGGACCGAACCGACUAAUGUUGAAAAAUUAGCGGAUGACUUGUGGCUGGGGGUGAAAGGCCAAUCAAACCGGGAGAUAGCUGGUUCUCCCCGAAAGCUAUUUAGGUAGCGCCUCGUGAACUCAUCUUCGGGGGUAGAGCACUGUUUCGGCUAGGGGGUCAUCCCGACUUACCAACCCGAUGCAAACUACGAAUACCGAAGAAUGUUAUCACGGGAGACACACGGCGGGUGCUAACGUCCGUCGUGAAGAGGGAAACAACCCAGACCGCCAGCUAAGGUCCCAAAGUCAUGGUUAAGUGGGAAACGAUGUGGGAAGGCACAGACAGCCAGGAUGUUGGCUUAGAAGCAGCCAUCAUUUAAAGAAAGCGUAAUAGCUCACUGGUCGAGUCGGCCUGCGCGGAAGAUGUAACGGGGCUAAACCAUGCACCGAAGCUGCGGCAGCGACACUAUGUGUUGUUGGGUAGGGGAGCGUUCUGUAAGCCUGCGAAGGUGACCUGUGAGGGUUGCUGGAGGUAUCAGAAGUGCGAAUGCUGACAUAAGUAACGAUAAAGCGGGUGAAAAGCCCGCUCGCCGGAAGACCAAGGGUUCCUGUCCAACGUUAAUCGGGGCAGGGUGAGUCGACCCCUAAGGCGAGGCCGAAAGGCGUAGUCGAUGGGAAACAGGUUAAUAUUCCUGUACUUGGUGUUACUGCGAAGGGGGGACGGAGAAGGCUAUGUUAGCCGGGCGACGGUUGUCCCGGUUUAAGCAUGUAGGCUGAUUGUCCAGGCAAAUCCGGAUAAUCAAGGCUGAGGUGUGAUGACGAGGCACUACGGUGCUGAAGUAACAAAUGCCCUGCUUCCAGGAAAAGCCUCUAAGCAUCAGGUAACAUUAAAUCGUACCCCAAACCGACACAGGUGGUCAGGUAGAGAAUACCAAGGCGCUUGAGAGAACUCGGGUGAAGGAACUAGGCAAAAUGGUGCCGUAACUUCGGGAGAAGGCACGCUGGUGUGUAGGUGAAGUCCCUGCGGAUGGAGCUGAGACCAGUCGAAGAUACCAGCUGGCUGCAACUGUUUAUUAAAAACACAGCACUGUGCAAACACGAAAGUGGACGUAUACGGUGUGACGCCUGCCCGGUGCCGGAAGGUUAAUUGAUGGGGUUAUCCGUAAGGAGAAGCUCUUGAUCGAAGCCCCGGUAAACGGCGGCCGUAACUAUAACGGUCCUAAGGUAGCGAAAUUCCUUGUCGGGUAAGUUCCGACCUGCACGAAUGGCGUAAUGAUGGCCAGGCUGUCUCCACCCGAGACUCAGUGAAAUUGAACUCGCUGUGAAGAUGCAGUGUACCCGCGGCAAGACGGAAAGACCCCGUGAACCUUUACUAUAGCUUGACACUGAACAUUGAGCCUUGAUGUGUAGGAUAGGUGGGAGGCUUUGAAGCGUGGACGCCAGUCUGCGUGGAGCCAACCUUGAAAUACCACCCUUUAAUGUUUGAUGUUCUAACGUUGGCCCCUGACCGGGGUUGCGGACAGUGUCUGGUGGGUAGUUUGACUGGGGCGGUCUCCUCCCAAAGCGUAACGGAGGAGCACGAAGGUUAGCUAAUCCUGGUCGGACAUCAGGAGGUUAGUGCAAUGGCAUAAGCUAGCUUGACUGCGAGCGUGACGGCGCGAGCAGGUGCGAAAGCAGGUCAUAGUGAUCCGGUGGUUCUGAAUGGAAGGGCCAUCGCUCAACGGAUAAAAGGUACUCCGGGGAUAACAGGCUGAUACCGCCCAAGAGUUCAUAUCGACGGCGGUGUUUGGCACCUCGAUGUCGGCUCAUCACAUCCUGGGGCUGAAGUAGGUCCCAAGGGUAUGGCUGUUCGCCAUUUAAAGUGGUACGCGAGCUGGGUUUAGAACGUCGUGAGACAGUUCGGUCCCUAUCUGCCGUGGGCGCUGGAGAAUUGAGGGGGGCUGCUCCUAGUACGAGAGGACCGGAGUGGACGCAUCACUGGUGUUCGGGUUGUCAUGCCAAUGGCACUGCCCGGUAGCUAAAUGCGGAAGAGAUAAGUGCUGAAAGCAUCUAAGCACGAAACUUGCCCCGAGAUGAGUUCUCCCUGAGACUAUAAGUCUCCUGAAGGAACGUUAAAGACGAUGACGUUGAUAGGCCGGGUGUGUAAGCGCAGCGAUGCGUUGAGCUAACCGGUACUAAUGAACCGUGAGGCUUAACCUUACAACGCCGAAG
This 2923-nucleotide ribosomal RNA is filed under the name Klebsiella pneumoniae. RNAcentral describes it as "23S ribosomal RNA". It matches the Rfam family "Bacterial large subunit ribosomal RNA". Lineage: Bacteria; Pseudomonadati; Pseudomonadota; Gammaproteobacteria; Enterobacterales; Enterobacteriaceae. The record is from RNAcentral.